UGCAUCGAACUGCUUCCCUCACUUUCGAUCAGUUGUUGCUCCACGAGAUAAACGUUGGACGCAAGACAUGGGUUCCUGUGUUGCAUACCUAUUGCGACGGAAAUGUGUGCCUUCGAUCGUCCCUUCCAUCACGGCGUCCUCACGGAUGCUCGGUUGGACCGGAUAGUGGGGCUCGUGUUCCACGAACGUCGUCUCAUUCGACCGUUCGGAUGGACCACGGGUGCCCACUCGUUCUCUCGGAUGGGGAAAUCUCUUGAUGGGCGUGGGGUCAUUGGCCCUUGGUCCCUAAUCGUUAAGCGUUUAUCGCUUCACCGGAAUGACGAUCUCGCCUUGUCCUUGACCACGCGAAGCCCUCGGGCAUCGCGACGGAUCAUGCUCGGCGGACGUCGUGAAGGAAUGC
This 400-nucleotide unclassified non-coding RNA is filed under the name Eucalyptus baxteri. RNAcentral's name for it is "partial external transcribed spacer". The record is from RNAcentral. Lineage: Eukaryota; Viridiplantae; Streptophyta; Magnoliopsida; Myrtales; Myrtaceae.